This 405-nucleotide ribosomal RNA is filed under the name uncultured bacterium. RNAcentral describes it as "bacterial SSU rRNA". It matches the Rfam family "Bacterial small subunit ribosomal RNA", at positions 370 to 772 of the family's 1533-position model. The record is from RNAcentral.
AAUGGAGGCAACUCUGACGCAGCCAUGCCGCGUGCAGGAAGAAGGCGCUACGCGUUGUAAACUGCUUUUAUCCGGGAAGAAACCCCAGGACGUGUCCUGGGUUGACGGUACCGGAGGAAUAAGCACCGGCUAACUUCGUGCCAGCAGCCGCGGUAAUACGAAGGGUGCAAGCGUUAUCCGGAUUCAUUGGGUUUAAAGGGUGCGUAGGUGGGGCGAUAAGUCAGCGGUGAAAUCCUGCAGCUCAACUGCAGAAUUGCCGUUGAUACUGUCGCUCUUGAGUACGCUUGACGUGGGCGGAAUGUGCCGUGUAGCGGUGAAAUGCUUAGAUAUGGCACAGAACACCGAUAGUGAAGACAGCUCACGAAGGCGAAACUGACACUGAGGCACGAAAGCGUGGGGAUCGAA